AGCGCGUUCAUAUUCCUUUUCCAGCUCGUGUUUGCGGGUGAUAACGUGGUGCUUGCAUUGCUAUGUGGGACCCGGGGAGAGGCUGUCUGUGCUGUGCCUGUAUUCUACAUGUGCGGAGCAAUGCUGUAAGGACACGCGUCCGAUACAUGAUGCACCGGACACAGAGUCGUAAUGGGUUUCCUUUUUAAAAGCACAAUGAAGAUGUGACCAAGAAUGUAUUGCCUACAUCCUGUCUGAAACUAUGGCAAAGAGAAUGACUGGAGUGGAAGGGAGGAGCUAUUUAACUGCUCUGCUACUCCUGACCAGGAGGUGAAUAUCCAUUAGGAAUUAAGAUGAUCUGUGGACUCGUGUCAAAAAAGAAAUAAAUUUAUCAGUAAUUGGUUUCCUUGAUUUAAAGGCACAAUGAAGAUGUGACAAAGAAUGUAUUGCCUACAUCCUGUCUGAAACUAUGGGACUUGUCUUUAUUUGAAGAACAGCUCUUAACCUUGUGCAUGGUGUAAUUUGAGGCAUGGCUGUUGGCACUGGUCAUGGAUUUUAAAGUUGACAGGAAUCAAGUAAUAUCUGCAAUUUUAAUUUGUGAAACUUAUUUGUAAAUAAAGGUUUAUUGGCUGAACAAUAAAAAAACAAAGCAAA
This is a long non-coding RNA of Bombina bombina (fire-bellied toad), 633 nucleotides long. RefSeq lists it as uncharacterized. The record is from RefSeq and is a predicted model, not a curated record. NCBI's taxonomy places the organism in Eukaryota, Metazoa, Chordata, Amphibia, Anura, Bombinatoridae. The transcript is spliced from 7 exons.